CUGCCACCACAGGGUCCUAGUUCCCCCACCCACUAGUAGCAGGGCAGGCUACUCUUCUGCCUUGGACCCUUCCCUUUUCCUUCGGGAACUAUCACCAGCACAGGGGGCCCCCUGCUCACAGUCACUGCUCCUGCCCCACGCUGGGCAAGGGGCAUCCCCAUCACCCACCCUCAGUGAGGCUACAGUGAGGGGCAGCAACAGGGGAGGAGGUGCACAUGUGAUGAAAGGCUCCCCCUGGCACCUACCACAGGGGAGGCAAGGGGGCUUCCUGGACCUGAGGGGGUCCCUAGAAGCACGUGCAGUGACAGUGGUGCGAGGCAGAAGAAGACUUGCAGGCCUAAAGUUAAGUGGCAGUGGUAGCAGAGAGUCAAAAAGAAAGUGACAGGUGGGGACAGAGAUUCUGAAAAGUCUAGGGAGAAUCUGCUGCUGAAGAAAAUAACUCCCUGUCUCUGCCCCUGGAAUCAGAGCAAAACAGAAGCAUACAACCAUUAAACUUCACCCCAUCUGGUGCCGUGUUUUCAGCUGUGGUCAAUCCCUGAUGAGUCAGUGGAAAGCCCAAGGUGGAAGUAUGGGUGCUAGAAUACACCCAGUGUACAUCAGGGAAAUAACAUUCCUUCCUGACUCCAGCAGAAGUGGAUUAGAUCCUGAAAAAUGGAUACAUAUGAGUGGACCAGAAGUGCCAUUUACUUCAACAAGGCUCCGAAUGGGCAGAGAGUCCACCUGCAGAGAGAAACUGAAAACAUCAACUCAACAAUGGCUUCCAACUUACAAUGUUUGUAUGUUAACAUGUAAAUGAAGUGUGGAGGAGAGACUUCAGAAUGCAACUGGCAGCAUAGACCAGCCAAAACGGGAUUUUAACAGCAAACCACUAAGGCUUUGGUCCUGGGAAUCCUUGUACCAUAUGGAGGAGGCAGAGCAAGAUGGUUGUACUCCAGGCAAAUCAAUAUACCCAGCCCUCUGCUGUCACCACCACUUGGGUAACUGCUAGAGUGAAGCCCUGUGAGUCAAUGGUCUCUUCAGGAGUCAGGCAAGCAGAUGUCAUUCAGGAUUGAGGCCUAAGAGAAGUAGAAGAAAAGGAGCACUGUUUGUAUGAAAUUGAUGGGCCGGGUUCUCAGUUGGUGUAAAUUGGCAUAGCUCCAUUGACUUCAACGAUGUUACAGUGAUUUACACCAACUAAGGAUCUGACCCGCUAUGUUUCUAAAUGUCCAUUAUAGUGUUUCUGUUAACAUAUUAGUUGUAGUAAUCUUAAGGGAUUUUUAAACUAUGGCUAAUGCACUUCUUUGGUUUGUUUCCUUUUCACAUUUCAAUCACUUUGGACAAUUAUACUUGAUUGAGUUUCACUUUUGUUUUGUCACCAGUUUCACUUUCGAACUUCAGUGUUCCAACACUUGUGGGAAAUGUUUAAAGUAAAUUGUAAUAAGUCUGUUUUCAUUGAAAUUUUAAUGAAAAUAUUAUAAUUUAUGUAGGGCCCAACUUUGCCAUCUUUACUCAUGUUGAGUAAUACCUUACUGUGAUGGCUUAUUUGGGUAAGGAUGGCUGAAACAGGACCCAUUAUGUUCUGUAAAACCUUCUUCUUAAACAUCAGCAUGUUGGCCUGUUGGUGGUGACGGUUGUCUGUAUUACUGUUGCACCCAAAAGCACAUUGUACUAAUUGUGUACAAUACUAAAAUAAAGACAGCCCCUAUCCCCAAAGAGUUUACAAACUAAAUAUUUGAGGUUGUCCCUUUCAUGAGGUCACUGAGGAUACAUUUGAAAUAAACAGUGGAUUGAUUUUGAUCCUUAUUGGAGAUAUCUGUCUGACUUGUAUCUUUAAAGACAUUGGGAUAAUUUCAGAAAUGUGAUAUCGUGGCAUCUUCUUGCAGUCCUUGGCAAUUUGAC
Molecule: long non-coding RNA, 1878 nt
Organism: Mauremys reevesii (Reeves's turtle)
Lineage: Eukaryota; Metazoa; Chordata; Testudines; Geoemydidae
Exons: 8
Source: RefSeq, a predicted model, not a curated record